This 925-nucleotide long non-coding RNA is filed under the name Gallus gallus (chicken). Its description in RNAcentral is "lncRNA (ENSGALG00010026735.1)". Lineage: Eukaryota; Metazoa; Chordata; Aves; Galliformes; Phasianidae. The record is from RNAcentral.
AAUGCACUGCCUCUUGCCUCACUUGUGUAAAGGCUGGGAAAAGAAAAAAAAAGCAUGCAGCAUGAAGUGCAGUAGCUAAAUACUGUGUUUUGCUUGACUAGGUACGCCUAAAUCCUGUUGGGCUCAGUGAUCUGUUUAAUGAUUCUUUUACUUGCUUUUAGAACGCUGCUGGUGUAUAGCCAUCUUCUUCAGCAUGUAAUGUGUGGAUGUACUUAUCGGUGAAUAGAAGCUAAAAUCAGCUCCGCUCGGUGCAGCCAUCGCUGCUGUUGGGAACCCGUGGACAGAAGCUGCCUCUCUGCAAGUGCACUGCAGGCUGCACAGAGCCUUAAACUCGCACAAGGGAUUUGUGAGCAGCCUGCUUGUUGAGAACAAAUCCUCAUCGAAAGGAACGCAUGACUUGCUGACCCUGGGUUCACAGAGCCUUCGUCCUGGCGCUUCCGCACCGCUGAGGAGUCGGCUGCUCUGAAAAUUGGAGUCCCCAGACUGGAAUGGAAGCUCCAACAAAGGACCUGUACGGUUUACAAAUACGCAUCGACUGGGGGACUUUGGGAGAGCUUUGUAAGAACGAUGGCAUUAGGAAAAGAGAGUGUUUCACAGGCAAGAAACCAGUGGAGGUCUAAGUUGAUAAAAAACAUGCUUCUGAAAAUGUGGGAUUUCCUCUUUGUAUUUUGGCUAAAACCCUGAGCUCUUUCUGCUUAGCUGUAGGUUGGCUUUUGGCCCUGGUCGUGUUGCUGUGGCUGUGCCAUAGGAAGGGAUGCUCGUCCCUGUGCAGAGCCACAGAGUGGAACUGCGCUCCUCCUCCACCAAACGCAGUGUUUGUGCACACAGGUGGCUGUGGCACGGAUGUCAGUGCCUUUUGUGUGUAUACAUGGAAACCAGAUAAGAAUUUAUUUUAAAACAUACACAUAAUAAACUUCUAUAUACU